This 93-nucleotide transfer RNA is filed under the name Desulfobulbaceae bacterium. RNAcentral's name for it is "tRNA-Sec". It matches the Rfam family "Selenocysteine transfer RNA". The record is from RNAcentral. Lineage: Bacteria; Pseudomonadati; Thermodesulfobacteriota; Desulfobulbia; Desulfobulbales; Desulfobulbaceae. RNAcentral also lists the same sequence under 1 other name.
AGGGGCAAUGGUGCUGGUGCGCCCGACGGUCUUCAAAACCGUUCGUCACGACUGCAAAUCGUGGAGGAGGUUCGAUUCCCCUUGCCCCUUCCA